Molecule: ribosomal RNA, 650 nt
Filed under: Serratia marcescens
Lineage: Bacteria; Pseudomonadati; Pseudomonadota; Gammaproteobacteria; Enterobacterales; Yersiniaceae
Description: bacterial SSU rRNA
Rfam family: Bacterial small subunit ribosomal RNA
Source: RNAcentral
CUUGCUCCCCGGGGGACGAGCGGCGGACGGUUUGAGUAAUGUCUGGGAAACUGCCUGAUGGAGGGGGAUAACUACUGGAAACGGUAGCUAAUACCGCAUAACGUCGCAAGACCAGAGAGGGGGACCUUCGGGCCUCUUGCCAUCAGAUGUGCCCAGAUGGGAUUAGCUAGUAGGUGGGGUAAUGGCUCACCUAGGCGACGAUCCCUAGCUGGUCUGAGAGGAUGACCAGCCACACUGGAACUGAGACACGGUCCAGACUCCUACGGGAGGCAGCAGUGGGGAAUAUUGCACAAUGGGCGCAAGCCUGAUGCAGCCAUGCCGCGUGUGUGAAGAAGGCCUUCGGAUUGUAAAGCACUUUCAGCGAGGAGGAAGGUGGUGAGCUUAAUACGCUCAUCAAUUGACGUUACUCGCAGAAGAAGCACCGGCUAACUCCGUGCCAGCAGCCGCGGUAAUACGGAGGGUGCAAGCGUUAAUCGGAAUUACUGGGCGUAAAGCGCACGCAGGCGGUUUGUUAAGUCAGAUGUGAAAUCCCCGGGCUCAAGCUGGGAACUGCAUUUGAAACUGGCAAGCUAGAGUCUCGUAGAGGGGGGUAGAAUUCCAGGGGUAGCGGUGAAAUGCGUACAGAUCUGGAGGGAAUACCGGUGGCGAAG